This 116-nucleotide small RNA is filed under the name unclassified sequences. Its description in RNAcentral is "LOOT RNA". It matches the Rfam family "LOOT RNA". Rfam says of the family: Latescibacteria, OD1/Parcubacteria, OP11, TM7. Lineage (Microgenomates, aka OP11) The record is from Rfam by way of RNAcentral.
UGCCUAAACCAAGCUUUCGCUUGGCAUGGCUAAAAGUCGGAUCACGCAUAAAAAACCCAUCAUGGGGUCGCGUGAUCCGCCAUAUCGGGAAACCGGUAUGAGUGGCUUCGGCCACU